RNAcentral lists this long non-coding RNA (2473 nucleotides) under Citrus maxima (pomelo). Its description in RNAcentral is "long non-coding RNA (CMAX_LNC000613)". The record is from RNAcentral. Lineage: Eukaryota; Viridiplantae; Streptophyta; Magnoliopsida; Sapindales; Rutaceae.
UACAUCAUUUCUAAUUUCUGCUUUUUGAUUUGUAAUAUUAUUCUGUUAUAUUGCAUCUUAAACAUUCCUAUUAGUUAUGUUAUAGUUUUUGGAGAACUGUUUAAGCCACCCUUAUCAAAACCUAAAAUUAGUAAAAGCUCUCGGUUCAUGACGACUGAUUUGAACUUAUCAACCUGGCAAUUGAAACUAAGGCCUGAUUGCUAAUGUUGUAAAUUUUUAAAUAAUUGUUAUUAGUUGCCGUAGAAGUAAUCAGCCGUAAAGAAAAUCAAUUAAACAUUUGGUAAAAUUUAUUUUUAAAAGCUUAAAAACAGCUCAGUGUUUAGUAAAUUUAACUGCCUUAAGAAUAUAAAUAUCUGAAGUAGACAUAAUGUUAAAUAAAAUUUUAUUUGUACAUUUACAAACAUGUAUAUAAAAUUCUUUUAUUGUGUAUAUAUAAUAAUUGAUAACUAAAAUAAAUAUUUUAUAUUAUUAAGUUUAAUUUUUUUUUUUGUUACCUCAAUAUAAUUGGUAAUAAAUAUAAUCUCUUUAAAAUUAAUAAUUUUUAUUUUCUAAUUAAUAAGGAUAAUUUUGAAUUUUUAUAAUAUAUAUUUAUACUAGGGUAUAUAUGAAAUUGUAUUAAAUACAAAACUAAUUCUUAAAAUUAGAUUUUGAAAAAUUACUCUCUCGCCGCUUUUCAAAUCUACCGUGAGAUGAGGUGAUUUUGUCAAAAAUGAUUUUUAAAAAAUUCAUUAAAUAUCAAAAUUUGCUUUUAACUUUUUAAAUCACUUUUGAACUUCUCAAAGCAAUCCUAAACAGGCCCUAUGAAUGUUACUAACUACGCGUAACUUCCAAGCUUCUAUCUAAUCCGGCUUUUGGCAACUUAAAAUAAUAAUUAUUUAUACAAUAUAGAGUACUCUAUGAACUGGCAGUGGUAAGUGCCUACUGAUGGUUAAUGAGUAAGCAAGAUAUCAUUAUACCGUUUUUCCAUCCUUUGUACCUUUUGAUUUUGAUUUUUAAUUUUUUUUAAACCUUAGCAACUAUCUAGGAUAGUUUCUGAUUUUUCACUUAAAUUCUUUUGUCAACAUUAAGCCGAAAGACUUUACGUAAGCACGCGUCAACAUGAAAGUUGGGAGGGAUUUUAUUUUGGGUGGUCAUACAAGCUAGUAGCCCAUUGCUUUUUGGGUUUUUUUUCUACCUACCAAUGACUUGGAUUGGUUCGUAAGACGGUGAAAAUUGUUUUAAUGGAACUUACAACACAGAGUACUCCAUGAACUGGCAGUGGUAAGUGCCUCCUCAUAGUUAAUUAGUAAGAAAGAUAUCAUUCUACUGUUUUUUCCAUCCUUUGUACCUUUUGAUUUUGAUUUUUAAUUUUUUUUAAACCUUAACUACUACCUAGGAUAGUUUCUGAUUUUUCACUUAAAUUCUUUUGUCAACAUAAAGCCGAAAGACUUUAGGUAAGCACACGUCCACAUGAAAGUUGGGAGGGAUUUUAUUUUGGGUGGUCAUACAAGCUAGUAGCCCUUUGCUUUUUUGGUAUUUUUUUCUACCUACCAAUGACUUGGAUUGGUUCGUGAGACGGUGAAAAUUGUUUUAAUGGAACUUACAAUACAGAGUACACUAUGAACUGGCAGUGGUAAGUGCCUACUGAUAGUAAAUUAGUAAGCAAGAUAUCAUUGUACUGUUUUUUCCAUCCUUUGUAGCUUUUGAUUUUGAUUUUUAAUUUUUUUUUUAAACCUUUGCAACUAUCUAGGAUAGUUUCUGAUUUUUCACGUAAAGUCUUUUGUCAACAUAAAGCCGAAAGACUUUAGGUAAGCCCACGUCAACAUGAAAGUUGGGAGGGAUUUUAUUUUGGGUGGUCAUACAAGCUAGUAGCCCUUUGCUGUUUCGGCAUUGUUUUCUUCCUACCAAUGACUUGGAUUGGUUCGUGAGACGGUGAAAAUUGUUUUAGUGGAACUUACAAUACAGAGUACUCCAUGAACUGGCAGUGGUAAGUGCCUACUGAUGGUUAAUGAGUAAGCAAGAUAUCAUUGUACCGUUUUUUCCAUCCUUUGUACCUUUUGAUUUUGAUUUUUAAUUUUUUUUAAACCUUAGCAACUAUCUGGGAUAGUUUCUGAUUUUUCACUUAAAUUCUUUUGUCAACAUUAAGCCGAAAGACCUUAGGUAAGCACACGUCAACAUGAAAGUUGGGAGGGAUUUUAUUUUGGGUGGUCAUACAAGCUAGUAGCCCUUUGCUUUUUUGGUAUUUUUUUCUACCUACCAAUGACUUGGAUUGGUUCGUGAGACGGUGAAAAUUGUUUUAAUGGAACUUAAAAUGAGCCCAAGUCACAAACUUUGGAAUGAUAUAUACUGGCUAUAAUUCCUUGUAAACCAUAUAUGUAAAGAGACAGGUGAAUAGGUAGUAGUUAUCAAUUAUUUUGUCAAAUAGCUCUCGAAAUACUCUUCUUUUGAUCUUUCUAUUUUCUUCUUCUGUUGUACUAUGGCAUGUUGCAGUGGG